CUUCUGAAGGUUGAUAA
RNAcentral lists this small RNA (17 nucleotides) under Arabidopsis thaliana (thale cress). RNAcentral describes it as "ATSL101960". The record is from RNAcentral. Lineage: Eukaryota; Viridiplantae; Streptophyta; Magnoliopsida; Brassicales; Brassicaceae.